RNAcentral lists this ribosomal RNA (473 nucleotides) under uncultured organism. RNAcentral's name for it is "partial 16S ribosomal RNA". It matches the Rfam family "Bacterial small subunit ribosomal RNA", at positions 331 to 796 of the family's 1533-position model. The record is from RNAcentral.
GUACACUCCUACGGGAGGCAGCAGUGGGGAAUUUUGGACAAUGGGCGAAAGCCUGAUCCAGCAAUGCCGCGUGCAGGAUGAAGGCCUUCGGGUUGUAAACUGCUUUUGUACGGAACGAAAAAGCUCCUUCUAAUACAGGGGGCCCAUGACGGUACCGUAAGAAUAAGCACCGGCUAACUACGUGCCAGCAGCCGCGGUAAUACGUAGGGUGCGAGCGUUAAUCGGAAUUACUGGGCGUAAAGCGUGCGCAGGCGGUUAUGUAAGACAGAUGUGAAAUCCCCGGGCUCAACCUGGGAACUGCAUUUGUGACUGCAUGGCUAGAGUACGGUAGAGGGGGAUGGAAUUCCGCGUGUAGCAGUGAAAUGCGUAGAUAUGCGGAGGAACACCGAUGGCGAAGGCAAUCCCCUGGACCUGUACUGACGCUCAUGCACGAAAGCGUGGGGAGCAAACAGGAUUAGAAACCCCAGUAGUCC